This 165-nucleotide ribosomal RNA is filed under the name uncultured bacterium. Its description in RNAcentral is "partial 16S rRNA". It matches the Rfam family "Bacterial small subunit ribosomal RNA", at positions 355 to 511 of the family's 1533-position model. The record is from RNAcentral.
UAGGGAAUCUUCCACAAUGGGCGAAAGCCUGAUGGAGCAACGCCGCGUGAGUGAAGAAGGUUUUCGGAUCGUAAAACUCUGUUGGUAGAGAAGAACGUUGGUGAGAGUGGAAAGCUCAUCAAGUGACGGUAACUACCCAGAAAGGGACGGCUAACUACGUGCCAA